This is a long non-coding RNA of Anolis carolinensis (green anole), 670 nucleotides long. RefSeq lists it as uncharacterized. Lineage: Eukaryota; Metazoa; Chordata; Lepidosauria; Squamata; Anolidae. The transcript is spliced from 3 exons. The record is from RefSeq and is a predicted model, not a curated record.
GGAUGCUCCUGUACUUUGCAGCCACCGUGAAGGCAAAUAAAUGAAUGCUGAUUCAGAUUGUGCCCUCAUUUCCUACCUCAUGGUGAUGUCAUGACUCAUAUAUUGGCAGAAAGAGAAGGAAGAUGAGUACAGAACCUCCUGACAACAGGCAGGAAGUGGUGGAUACAUCCACAUGUUCUAGAUGGAGAUACAUGAUCUGCACUCAAAUUCAGGGUCAACCCUUUAAACAGAAUGGACAGAGGGCCACCAGCAGCAUGAAUGGAGAGAACUGAGAAGGCUCUUCCUCCUUUGCACAAUGGGAUAAGGUUUUUCUCUAGUUGCUCUGACCUCAUACUCCUCAUCACAGAGGACUUUCUGAGGGAUGGAAUCCAGCCAGAAACUACAACCAAUGCUGCAUCGCUGUAACUCCACCCGUUCUGCUAUAUGAUACUAUCAUGCCAUGUUUGGCCGAUGGAUCUGUGCCAGUCUGAAGGAAUGAGAAAGCACUAUCCGUUUUCAAUAACAAGUGACAUAAUUUGUGUGGCACUAUCAUCAAACACUGCUUCAGUUUCUACCGCUCUGUUCCUAUACCUCUUUUAUUCAGUACCAGCUUUUAAAGAAAGGAACGAGACAACAUAUUAGAAAUGGAACAUCAUCAUUUUUUGCAUUUAAUUUAAACAACAACACUGAG